CACGCCGCCUCCACUGCUGAUAUCUACAUUUUCACUGUUGGGCUCUUUUACAGGGGUCUGGAACAAACACACAAGGAAAGCAACCCAUGAAAAAACAUUGCUACAGAGAAAUCAAGAUUUAACCACCAGAAAUAUUCUCAUAAAGAUCUUGAGAAAAAUGUACGGAAGAAGAUAAAGAGGCCAGUCAGCAUAUAUCCCACAACAAAAGAAUAUGGUUAUACAGGAAAUAUUCUUUCUCUGGAGAGAAAUCAUGACACAGAAAGCUGCUCGCCAAGAAGCACUCCUGUAUUUCCCAUACACUAAUUUAAAGCAUGUUUAUGUUUGAUGUUUUAACUCCUAACUUUACCAUAUUGAAAAGCGUAUGUAUGUGUAUGGGGAAAAAAUGGGAUCUCACAUUGGGGCCUGCCUAUAAGAGGAAGACUCCAGACUGAGAUCUUAAUUGGUGAUUCCAUACUUUUAAACCUCUAACUAAUGUGAUAACAAGGAAGAUCUAUCAACCACGGGGACACAGAUUAUAAGACUACAUAAACUUUAUUUUUUUUUUAAUGUCAAGAUUAAUGAGAAGACCAACGGAUACAGUGUAGACAGAAAAAAAAAAUCAAAAACAAUGGAGAAAACUAAAAAAUCCAGAAAGAGAAAGAACACAAGAGACAAGAGUAUUUCAAUAAGUGUUAUGAUACCAGGAUAUCAGCAGAUGUGGAAGGGCACAACUUUUGCUUUAGAGUUCCUGUGAAAAGCAGUAACUGGUGACAUUUUUCUGGUUUGAACACACAAUUAUAGUUAACAGAAUAGGGUCCUUGCUGCUUACCUACAUUUAGGCUAAUGAAGAACUAAGGCAGAGGGCGGCUGAUCUCCAGAGCUUCACAAAGGAAGCUGGUCACCAGAGGAACCAUUCGUGAUUAAAGAAUUAGAACUUUCAGCUGCCACUCCUCUACUUACCAGGAGGUGAACGGGACUAGAGAUUAAGUUUAAUCACCAGAGGCCAAUGAUUUAUUAACUAACUAUACCUAUGCAGUAAAACUCGGAUCAAAUCUCUGCAACAAUAAAGUUAGGGGACCUCUUCUAGGUUGGUGAACACAUCAAAAAUGCCCAGAGGGUGACAUACCCAGAGAUGGAUGGCAUGGAAGCUCUGUGUUCCCCAAUUCCCAUACGCUUCCUUUACAUCUCUUCUAUUUAGCUGUUCCU
Long non-coding RNA from Canis lupus familiaris (dog), 1185 nucleotides. RefSeq lists it as uncharacterized. NCBI's taxonomy places the organism in Eukaryota, Metazoa, Chordata, Mammalia, Carnivora, Canidae. The record is from RefSeq and is a predicted model, not a curated record. The transcript is spliced from 5 exons.